This 253-nucleotide ribosomal RNA is filed under the name uncultured bacterium. Its description in RNAcentral is "partial 16S ribosomal RNA". It matches the Rfam family "Bacterial small subunit ribosomal RNA", at positions 524 to 776 of the family's 1533-position model. The record is from RNAcentral.
UACGUAGGGUGCAAGCGUUGUCCGGAAUUACUGGGCGUAAAGGGCUCGUAGGCGGCCAACUAAGUCGGACGUGAAAUCCCCAGGCUCAACCUGGGAACUGCGUCUGAUACUGGAUGGCUUGAAUCCGGGAGAGGGAUGCAGAAUUCCAGGUGUAGCGGUGAAAUGCGUAGAUAUCUGGAGGAAUACCGGUGGCGAAGGCGGCAUCCUGGACCGGCAUUGACGCUGAGGAGCGAAAGCCAGGGGAGCAAACGGG